This 253-nucleotide ribosomal RNA is filed under the name uncultured bacterium. RNAcentral's name for it is "partial 16S ribosomal RNA". It matches the Rfam family "Bacterial small subunit ribosomal RNA", at positions 524 to 776 of the family's 1533-position model. The record is from RNAcentral.
UACGUAGGGGGCAAGCGUUGUCCGGAUUUAUUGGGCGUAAAGAGCGUGUAGGCGGUCAGGUAGGUCCGUUGUGAAAACUCGAGGCUCAACCUCGAGACGCCGAUGGAAACCAUCUGACUAGAGUCCGGAAGAGGAGAGUGGAAUUCCUGGUGUAGCGGUGAAAUGCGCAGAUAUCAGGAGGAACACCGGUGGCGAAGGCGGGUCUCUGGGCAACAACUGACGCUGAGGAGCGAAAGCGUGGGGAGCGAACAGG